This 537-nucleotide ribosomal RNA is filed under the name uncultured bacterium. RNAcentral describes it as "bacterial SSU rRNA". It matches the Rfam family "Bacterial small subunit ribosomal RNA", at positions 102 to 674 of the family's 1533-position model. The record is from RNAcentral.
ACGGGUGAGUAACGCGUGGGAAUCUACCCAUCCCUACGGAAUAACGCAUGGAAACGUGUGCUAAUACCGUAUACGCCCUACGGGGGAAAGAUUUAUCGGGGAUGGAUGAGCCCGCGUUGGAUUAGCUAGUUGGUGGGGUAAAGGCCUACCAAGGCGACGAUCCAUAGCUGGUCUGAGAGGAUGAUCAGCCACAUUGGGACUGAGACACGGCCCAAACUCCUGCGGGAGGCAGCAGUGGGGAAUAUUGGACAAUGGGCGCAAGCCUGAUCCAGCCAUGCCGCGUGAGUGAUGAAGGCCUUAGGGUUGUAAAGCUCUUUCACCGGAGAAGAUAAUGACGGUAUCCGGAGAAGAAGCCCCGGCUAACUUCGUGCCAGCAGCCGCGGUAAUACGAAGGGGGCUAGCGUUGUUCGGAAUUACUGGGCGUAAAGCGCACGUAGGCGGACUUUUAAGUCAGGGGUGAAAUCCCGGGGCUCAACCUCGGAACUGCCUUUGAUACUGGAAGUCUGGAGUAUGGAAGAGGUGAGUGGAAUUCCGAGU